RNAcentral lists this ribosomal RNA (304 nucleotides) under Escherichia coli. RNAcentral's name for it is "partial 23S ribosomal RNA". It matches the Rfam family "Bacterial large subunit ribosomal RNA", at positions 1114 to 1416 of the family's 2925-position model. Lineage: Bacteria; Pseudomonadati; Pseudomonadota; Gammaproteobacteria; Enterobacterales; Enterobacteriaceae. The record is from RNAcentral.
AGCCAUCAUUUAAAGAAAGCGUAAUAGCUCACUGGUCGAGUCGGCCUGCGCGGAAGAUGUAACGGGGCUAAACCAUGCACCGAAGCUGCGGCAGCGACGCUUAUGCGUUGUUGGGUAGGGGAGCGUUCUGUAAGCCUGUGAAGGUGUGCUGUGAGGCAUGCUGGAGGUAUCAGAAGUGCGAAUGCUGACAUAAGUAACGAUAAAGCGGGUGAAAAGCCCGCUCGCCGGAAGACCAAGGGUUCCUGUCCAACGUUAAUCGGGGCAGGGUGAGUCGACCCCUAAGGCGAGGCCGAAAGGCGUAGUC